AGUGAUGCUGCGGCCGCUUCGCACUGUGGCUCCUGCCGACCGCCAGGCGCUGUUACAGUGGAUGCGAACUAACCGUAAGUCAUUAUAUCGUACUGCAGAAACCAGCUCAACUAUGCAAAACUACCACCAGGACUGGCCGACACCAGGAGGGAUUCCAGAGACCACACUGCAGGGAGCAUACAGAAAGAAAAUUAAGAGAUCAGAUGCAGCAGCAGCCGGAACCCACAGUUCACCUUGGUGCAUUCCUUUAUGAUGAAGACUUAUUGAUUCAUUAUAUGAGAAAGGAAAAAUGAGCAGAAACUACUGUAUGAUGUGCAGCUCACACCAGACAGCAACUUUAGGUAGGCACUUAGGUGCUUCAUGCAGACAUCUGUACACCAGAUUUACUUCUGCAAAAUGCUGAUGCUAUGAAUAAUGCUUUUGAAUAUUAAUAAGGCAAAACAGACCA
Molecule: long non-coding RNA, 448 nt
Organism: Homo sapiens (human)
Lineage: Eukaryota; Metazoa; Chordata; Mammalia; Primates; Hominidae
Source: Ensembl